This 2903-nucleotide long non-coding RNA is filed under the name Helicoverpa zea (corn earworm). RNAcentral's name for it is "uncharacterized LOC124644340". The record is from RNAcentral. Lineage: Eukaryota; Metazoa; Arthropoda; Insecta; Lepidoptera; Noctuidae.
UUCAUUCUUACAAACCCUACGUAACAAGUUUUAAUAGAAAUGAUGAAAUACGUAUACCUAUCAAUCAACAGGACCUGUACAUAUUACCAUCAGCUAGCACUUUAUAUUUGGAAGGAACCGUUAUAGUUAGCAAGAAGGAUACGAAAGACAAAGCUACUAGUGUCCAUUUCACCAACAAUGCUCUACUUUACUUAUUUCAAGAUAUUAGGUAUGAGCUAAAUGGAGUAGAGAUAGAUAAAAUAAAAAAUGCUGGUAUAACUACAACCAUAAAAUCGUUAAUAUCAAUGAAUGAGGGCGAAUCAAAGAUGUCUAACGCCUGGGGUUGGAAUAUCGAUGGAAUAAAAAAUAAUCAUGGAGGAAGUUUUUCUGCUUCUAUCCCACUUCGCAAUAUCCUCGGUUUCGCUGAAGAUUUUAAAAAAGUCAUCAUAAAUAGUAGACACGAACUGGUACUGUUACGAAGUAACACUAAUUUGAACGCUGUAAAACUUAGCACCGGCGAAGUAGUGGAUGACGUUCACAUCAACAAAAUCAUAUGGCGCGUACCACAUGUUAAAGUAUCAGAUAAAGAAAAAAUUUCUUUGCUAAAACUGUUAGAAAAAGAUCGUCCGCUUCAGAUGAUUUACAGAAAUUGGGAUCUCUACGAAUAUCCAGCUUUACCUAAAACUACAAAGCAUACGUGGUCUAUCAAAACUGCAUCUCAAAUUGAAAAACCAAGAUACGUCAUUAUAGGCUUACAGACAAAUAGGAAAAAUAGUGCAAGUUCUGACAUGUCUCAAUUCGAUCACUGCAAUGUUCGUGACGUAAAAGUGUACCUAAAUUCAACUUAUUUUCCAUAUGAAAGUCUUAAUGUGAACUUCGCUAAUAACAGAAUUGCAUUAUUAUAUGAGCAAUACGUCAGAUUUCAACAGUCGUAUUACGGACGCCGUCCAGAACCCUUGUUAAGUGAGAAACAGUUUAAAGAUUUAGCACCGCUGUUUGUAGUCGAUUGCUCUAGACAAGCAGAUAAUCUAAAGGCGGGUCCUGUCGUAGAUGUAAGAGUAGAAAUUGAGAGUGAUUCGGAACUACCAGAUCAAACUGCAGCUUAUUGUCUCAUUCUGAAUGACUGCAUUGUUGAAUACAAGCCAUUAAGUAACAUCGUAAAGAAGAUAUCAUGAACGCAGAUACCAUCAUAGUUGAUCUCCAAGGAUUUAAAGAUAAUCAAAAUAAUUUUAUCGUGAAGGAAGUGGCCAUUGUAAGUCAGGAACUUACCCAAACAUUCUUAGUAAAACCACCAUAUCCGUUUCAUUAUUUGUCUAAAGAAGAAAAGAAGCAAGUGAGAUGGAUAGAAAGAAAUCGAGGAAUUUACUGGAGUGAGGGCUACAUCGAUUAUAAAGAAUUUCAACGCAUCGUAGUAUUAUAUCUCGAGAAUAAGAAAAUAAUGACCAAGGGUUUGGAAAAAAUACAGUGGAUUCAAGAAUUAUGCACGAACUGUAAAGUGAUUGAUCUUGGUGAAAAGGGAUGUCCUAAUCUUUCAACAUUAAAAAGAAUGUUUUUAAAAAAUAAAAGAGACUUUAACUGUGUGCAUCAUAGAAUUAACUGUGCAUUAAAUAAUGCUGUGUGUAUAAGAAAAUGGUAUUUUGAUAAUAACAUGUCUGUGUUUAAUUUAUUCAGCAAAAAGUUUGGAAAUGAUGAAGUGGAUUGUUAAUAAUGUGUCAUAAAAUACCAUUAUACAUACUUAUAUUAUGAAAAACAUUCGUUUCAUGUUCAUUCCUGUCUAUUGCACUUACACGUGUCUGGUGCUAAAUAUGACACCACACAGGUGCACUCGUAUAAAGAAUACAGGUUUAAACUUGUUAAAACAUGACAUUGAUUCAAAGCAUACGAGUCUUUAUUGAGUACUGUUACAUUAAACUAUUUCACUUCCUUCGUCAUUGCGCUGUCCGUUGUCGAAGUGGUAACAUCUCAUCAAAAAAUAAAACAUUAUCAUCAAUAAUGUGUGAUUCUCCUGACAUUCGUUUCUCACAAUACGCUCAAGGUUUUCCUACUCCAAGUUUGAGCUGGCAUACACCAGAGCCACAACCUCGUGCGAGUAAGAAGCCUAGAGUGAGACGUCAAAAGCAAAAGCAGACUCCAGUGUACCAAUCGUUCGUCAUCAACAAUGAGAAGAAAAAAGGAGUACGGCUCAUUCAAGUACAAGUGUUGGACAUUAAUGAACAACAAAAACCUGCAACCCCUGACGGAGAAGUGCUAGUGAUGAGUGCGCAAUACGUUGUGACUGAGCCUGUGGACUAUAUAAUGGACGAGACACAGGCAUUAAUAAAUAAAAUAUCCAAAAAACUUUGUGAAGACUAUAGUUAUAAGUUAUAAGUUAAGUAUGAUUAUUUGUAGAUAUGUAUGUAAAUAUGUUGCAUGUGAAUAAUAUAGGUAGAUUUUAGUUAUUAACUUUAGGAUAUUUAUAUUAUUUUGUCUACACACAUCACAUGUUUAAUUGUAAUCUUUAUAUAUAUGUAAGGAAACUUUGUGAAAACUAUAGUUAUAAUUAAGUAUGAUUAUUUGUAUGUAUGUAAAUAUGUUGCAUGUGAAUAAUAUAGGUAGAUUUUAGUUAUUAACAUUAGGAUAUUUCUAUUAUUUUGUCUACACAUCACAUGUUUAAUUGUAAUCAUUAUAUUAAAUAUAUAAGGAAAUCACAUUUUAAUCUAAGUUUAUAAAAAUAAUUGUACCUAGCCAUAAUUAGCUGUGUAGUAGUAUUGUAGUUGAUUCUGGUAAUAUUAUAUUUGCGCAGUUAUAAAGUUAAUUUUAUAGUAAUGUUGUAAAAAUAUAUAAUGUUUAAACUUUAUCUAGAAUAGUUUGUAGUUUAUCAAUGUACAUAUAAUAUUAUAAGUUACUGUUAUAUAUUUAAAUAAACAGGAUAAAUUUUAAAUUUA